CAUGUUUAACCGGCGGACGUUAAGAACCGAAUGUCGAACACCAUCCUAAGCGAAGUUUCUGUCGCAAUAGAAGUUUAAAAUAGGUAUUUAGCGAUAGUGUUGCAGCGCAACAUAAAAAAUAGUUAGAGUAUGAACAUUUAAAAUCCAAUACAUACUUACUAAGGCGAAAUAAGUUAAUUUAGUACUGCAAGUUUGAGGAUCAGCUCCCUACAUCGCAACAAUGGAGUGUGAUAUUUUCAGCGAGAAAAGCAUGAUAGUCGUACCGCCAAGUCUACCGAACAUUCUUUUGGAAUUUACAAAAGCUGCUAUCAAGACGCAACCAUCAGAUUUGCUGGGAUGGGCUGCAGCUUACUUUCGAAGCAAAGUCAAAGAGCAAUCUUCGAAUUAAAAUAAGUAUCACAGUUGUUAUCACUGCUUUCAAUUUAUAAAUACUGCUGCAAUUGGGCGAAUAUUGAUCGUCUCUCAUGAUCAGUUUAACUAAACUAUAUAAUACUUACUCCAAAAUAUAUGGAUGAUUUUUUUCAUUACA
Molecule: non-coding RNA, 529 nt
Organism: Bemisia tabaci
Lineage: Eukaryota; Metazoa; Arthropoda; Insecta; Hemiptera; Aleyrodidae
Source: RefSeq, a predicted model, not a curated record